RNAcentral lists this ribosomal RNA (468 nucleotides) under uncultured bacterium. RNAcentral's name for it is "partial 16S ribosomal RNA". It matches the Rfam family "Bacterial small subunit ribosomal RNA", at positions 28 to 507 of the family's 1533-position model. The record is from RNAcentral.
GACGAACGCUGGCGGCGUGCUUAACACAUGCAAGUCGAACGGAAAGGCCCUGCUUUUGUGGGGUGCUCGAGUGGCGAACGGGUGAGUAACACGUGAGUAACCUGCCCUUGACUUUGGGAUAACUUCAGGAAACUGGGGCUAAUACCGGAUAGGAGCUCCUGCUGCAUGGUGGGGGUUGGAAAGUUUCGGCGGUUGGGGAUGGACUCGCGGCUUAUCAGCUUGUUGGUGGGGUAGUGGCUUACCAAGGCUUCGACGGGUAGCCGGCCUGAGAGGGUGAACGGCCACAUGGGGACUGAGAUACGGCCCAGAAUCCUACGGGAGGCAGCAGUGGGGAAUAUUGCACAAUGGGCGGAAGCCUGAUGCAGCAACGCCGCGUGCGGGAUGACGGCCUUCGGGUGGUAAACCGCUUUCGCCUGUGACGAAGCGGGAGUGACGGUAAUGGGUAAAGAAGCACCGGCUAACUACGUG